This 1828-nucleotide long non-coding RNA is filed under the name Oryctolagus cuniculus (rabbit). Its description in RNAcentral is "lncRNA (ENSOCUG00000038866.1)". The record is from RNAcentral. Lineage: Eukaryota; Metazoa; Chordata; Mammalia; Lagomorpha; Leporidae.
GGAGCGUGGGUGCUGGUACCGCAGGAUGGUUGGAACCAUGUAGGUGACAGCAUGGCGGAAUAAAGGAGAAAAGUGGAGGGGACAGGAAGGAGAGGAGGAGAAAAACGGGGGAGGGCAGAGGAGACUUUGACCAACACCUGCAGGUCAGCAAGUCAGUUCCAGCAGAGCCGCUGCCCCCGGGCCUCCCCACGCCAGGCCCUCCGCGCACGGCUGUUCAGGAGACAGGGCAGCACUCGGAGGAGGUGGGAGAGCCUCUGCACUGUCCUGGCACGGGCGCCCCAGGCUUGGUCCCUGGACGUGGCUGGUCCCACACGGUGGGUGCUGCUGUGGACAGUUGCGAGACAGGCUUGAGGAUGUACCUCUGACCUCCACACCUCGUCCCAGGGCCAAGGGGAGACUAAGACAGGAAGGUGAUGACCAGAUGGACCGACAGACGGGUUUUAACUCAUCGCCAUUUCCUAUUCACUACCUCACUGUUUCACGGGUCCCUCCCUUCCCCACUUCACACAGGUGCAAACCAAGGAUCAGACAGCCUCGCCCAAGGCCAGACUCAGAAUCAGGCGGGGAGAAAUUACGUCGAGUCACGCACAUAAACCGAGGCUCUAAGGGUCAAUCCCAGUCCCUCCCCCACCAUCCUCUCCUCUCCCCAUUGCUGUCCUCACAGGUUAGAAAUGGAAGCCCAGAGGGAGGGGUAAGUGCCCGAGGGCAUCGGGAAGCUGCAUCUCAGAAUGAAAAUCCUGGUUGCUCAGCACAACACCAGAGCUGCCAACACUCGGUUUAGAGGGAAGCGCUCUUCCGGCACAAGGAAAACCUCCUGCUUAGAUAACAAGACAGAUAAUCUGUACAGCAAGUCUGCUCUGUCCUGUUCCCGCGAUAACUCCUCCGUCUGCAGCACUCUGAAAAACAGUGCACUUUGCAGACACCCAGUAGCAAGACUGGACACGGCUCCCACGGCGCUCUGUGAUGAGCUCUUAAGAGCAGAGCUGACGCACCCGCACGGAUGGGCCCCAAGCGCAGAAUCUAUAAGAAAGAACAAAUGCGUUGGGGGGAAAAAAAGGAGGGGUCUUGUAAGCAGAAUGCAGAAUGAAGUCUUGGCUUUGCAGGGUCCAUCACUUUCCAGGAAAGCCAGCAGCAUGUAGUUUCUAAUCCCCUAAUAUUUGCUGUCUCUGCAAACCAAUGAAGUGGCUGAGCCUGCAAAGAAUACUGAUGGAAUCGGCGGCAUCUGAAGGUGACUUUGACAAAGAACAGGAGUGGUCCUGGGUAGCUCACUCAUGACCGUGCCGUCGGUGAGAGCCUGGAAAGAGAUCAACACCACACAGCGGGGUCGUUGGCCACCUGGGACCACUCCUCACUGAGCACCUGCUGGGGCAGCCUCAGAACGGGGCUUCCAUGGUGGGCACAGAGAAUUCUGGCUGUGCACGCAUUAAGGAAGUCACUUCAAGUCGCGCUUGCAUCAAUCCCCCAGGUUUCGCCAGAGCCUGGGCUCUGUGCCCUCAGCACCCCUGGGUGGCCCACUUCAGUUCUAAAUGAAUGGGAAAUCGCUCCUGCCCUGAAAGCCUUGCUUUGCACACACAGUACGAGGCCUAGGGAUCUGGGUUCAAGUCCGGGUUCUGCCACUAACCAGCUGGGGGCUUUCUGAUCCGCAACAAGUCAGUCCAGUUACUUCUCCUGUGCAGUAGGUCCAGACCGUGUGUGGCACCCACAACAUGUUUACAAGCUAGUGACAGAAGUGACCAAAGGAGCUGGCACUGUGGUGCUGUAGGUAAAGCCACUGCCUGCAAUGCUGGCAUCCCAUAUGGGUGCUGGUUUGAGUUCCGGCUGCUUCACU